GACGAACGCUGGCGGCGUGCUUAACACAUGCAAGUCGAACGGAAAGGCCCUGCUUGCCGGGUACUCGAGUGGCGAACGGGUGAGUAACACGUGGGUUAUCUGCCCUGCACUUCGGGAUAAGCCUGGGAAACUGGGUCUAAUACCGGAUAGGAGCCAUUUUUAGUGUGAUGGUUGGAAAGUUUUUUCGGUGUAGGAUGAGCUCGCGGCCUAUCAGCUUGUUGGUGGGGUAAUGGCCUACCAAGGCGGCGACGGGUAGCCGGCCUGAGAGGGUGGACAGCCACAUUGGGACUGAGAUACGGCCCAGACUCCUACGGGGGGCAGCAGUGGGGAAUAUUGCACAAUGGGCGCAAGCCUGAUGCAGCGACGCCGCGUGGGGGAUGACGGCCUUCGGGUUGUAAACUCCUUUCGCUAGGGACGAAGCUUUUUGUGACGGUACCUAGAUAAGAAGCACCGGCUAACUACGUG
This 465-nucleotide ribosomal RNA is filed under the name uncultured bacterium. RNAcentral describes it as "partial 16S ribosomal RNA". It matches the Rfam family "Bacterial small subunit ribosomal RNA", at positions 28 to 507 of the family's 1533-position model. The record is from RNAcentral.